UACGGAGGGUGCAACCGUUGCUCGGAAUCACUGGGCGUAAAGCGCACGUAGGCGGCCUUGUAAGUUGGAUGUGAAAGCCCUGGGCUCAACCCAGGAAGUGCAUCCAAAACUGCAUGGCUUGAGUACCGGAGGGGUUCAGAGAAUUCCCGGUGUAGAGGUGAAAUUCGUAGAUAUCGGGAGGAAUACCAGUGGCGAAGGCGCUGAACUGGACGGUAACUGACGCUGAGGUGCGAAAGCGUGGGUAGCAAACAGG
This 253-nucleotide ribosomal RNA is filed under the name uncultured bacterium. RNAcentral describes it as "partial 16S ribosomal RNA". It matches the Rfam family "Bacterial small subunit ribosomal RNA", at positions 524 to 776 of the family's 1533-position model. The record is from RNAcentral.